GCCAGCGCCCAUUCUUUACAUACAAAAAACUAUGCGAAUAUAAAAUUACAAAUUAUCACAACAAAAAACAUUCAAAAAAAGAGGAAAGUAGUAUCAAAUGAAAAUAAUCAGAGUAAUCAAUAUAAAACAUACCAACCAGAACAAUUAAUUUGAAUCGUAAAUAAUUAGCAGCGUAUACAGCUUUGUCGUGCAAUACGAGAAAAGUGUAUUUUAGAAGCACUCUUCAUAUUUUCUAAGCCGUUUCAUUUAUACAUAACAUUUAUUUUAGUCUGCUGCCAAAGUUACUAGC
Molecule: unclassified non-coding RNA, 289 nt
Filed under: Aliivibrio wodanis
Lineage: Bacteria; Pseudomonadati; Pseudomonadota; Gammaproteobacteria; Vibrionales; Vibrionaceae
Description: putative sRNA
Source: RNAcentral